UUAAGUUAGAAAGGGCGCACGGUGGAUGCCUUGACACUAGGAGUCGAUGAAGGACGGGACUAACGCCGAUAUGCUUCGGGGAGCUGUAAGUAAGCUUUGAUCCGAAGAUUUCCGAAUGGGGAAACCCACCAUACGUAAUGGUAUGGUAUCCUUAUCUGAAUACAUAGGGUAAGGAAGACAGACCCAGGGAACUGAAACAUCUAAGUACCUGGAGGAAGAGAAAGCAAAUGCGAUUUCCUGAGUAGCGGCGAGCGAAACGGAACAUAGCCCAAACCAAGAGGCUUGCCUCUUGGGGUUGUAGGACAUUCUAUACGGAGUUACAAAGGAACGAGGUAGACGAAGCGACCUGGAAAGGUCCGUCGUAGAGGGUAACAACCCCGUAGUCGAAACUUCGUUCUCUCUUGAAUGUAUCCUGAGUACGGCGGAACACGUGAAAUUCCGUCGGAAUCUGGGAGGACCAUCUCCCAAGGCUAAAUACUCCCUAGUGAUCGAUAGUGAACCAGUACCGUGAGGGAAAGGUGAAAAGCACCCCGGAAGGGGAGUGAAAGAGAUCCUGAAACCGUGUGCCUACAAAUAGUCAGAGCCCGUUAACGGGUGAUGGCGUGCCUUUUGUAGAAUGAACCGGCGAGUUACGAUCCCGUGCGAGGUUAAGCUGAAGAGGCGGAGCCGCAGCGAAAGCGAGUCUGAAUAGGGCGUUUAGUACGUGGUCGUAGACCCGAAACCAGGUGAUCUACCCAUGUCCAGGGUGAAGUUCAGGUAACACUGAAUGGAGGCCCGAACCCACGCACGUUGAAAAGUGCGGGGAUGAGGUGUGGGUAGCGGAGAAAUUCCAAUCGAACCUGGAGAUAGCUGGUUCUCCCCGAAAUAGCUUUAGGGCUAGCCUUAAGUGUAAGAGUCUUGGAGGUAGAGCACUGAUUGGACUAGGGGUCCUCAUCGGAUUACCGAAUUCAGUCAAACUCCGAAUGCCAAUGACUUAUCCUUAGGAGUCAGACUGCGAGUGAUAAGAUCCGUAGUCAAAAGGGAACAGCCCAGACCGCCAGCUAAGGUCCCAAAGUGUGUAUUAAGUGGAAAAGGAUGUGGAGUUGCUUAGACAACUAGGAUGUUGGCUUAGAAGCAGCCACCAUUUAAAGAGUGCGUAAUAGCUCACUAGUCGAGUGACUCUGCGCCGAAAAUGUACCGGGGCUAAAUACACCACCGAAGCUGCGGAUUGAUACCAAUGGUAUCAGUGGUAGGGGAGCGUUCUAAGGACAGUGAAGUCAGACCGGAAGGACUGGUGGAGUGCUUAGAAGUGAGAAUGCCGGUAUGAGUAGCGAAAGACGGGUGAGAAUCCCGUCCACCGAAUGCCUAAGGUUUCCUGAGGAAGGCUCGUCCGCUCAGGGUUAGUCAGGACCUAAGCCGAGGCCGACAGGCGUAGGCGAUGGACAACAGGUUGAUAUUCCUGUACCACCUCUUUAUCGUUUGAGCAAUGGAGGGACGCAGAAGGAUAGAAGAAGCGUGCGAUUGGUUGUGCACGUCCAAGCAGUUAGGCUGAUAAGUAGGCAAAUCCGCUUAUCGUGAAGGCUGAGCUGUGAUGGGGAAGCUCCUUAUGGAGCGAAGUCUUUGAUUCCCCGCUGCCAAGAAAAGCUUCUAGCGAGAUAAAAGGUGCCUGUACCGCAAACCGACACAGGUAGGCGAGGAGAGAAUCCUAAGGUGUGCGAGAGAACUCUGGUUAAGGAACUCGGCAAAAUGCCCCCGUAACUUCGGGAGAAGGGGUGCUUUCUUAACGGAAAGCCGCAGUGAAUAGGCCCAAGCGACUGUUUAGCAAAAACACAGCUCUCUGCGAAGCCGUAAGGCGAAGUAUAGGGGGUGACACCUGCCCGGUGCUGGAAGGUUAAGGAGAGGGGUUAGCGUAAGCGAAGCUCUGAACUGAAGCCCCAGUAAACGGCGGCCGUAACUAUAACGGUCCUAAGGUAGCGAAAUUCCUUGUCGGGUAAGUUCCGACCCGCACGAAAGGUGUAACGAUUUGGGCACUGUCUCAACCAGAGACUCGGUGAAAUUAUAGUACCUGUGAAGAUGCAGGUUACCCGCGACAGGACGGAAAGACCCCGUGGAGCUUUACUGUAGCCUGAUAUUGAAUUUUGGUACAGUUUGUACAGGAUAGGCGGGAGCCUUUGAAACCGGAGCGCUAGCUUCGGUGGAGGCGCUGGUGGGAUACCGCCCUGACUGUAUUGAAAUUCUAACCUACGGGUCUUAUCGACCCGGGAGACAGUGUCAGGUGGGCAGUUUGACUGGGGCGGUCGCCUCCUAAAGUGUAACGGAGGCGCCCAAAGGUUCCCUCAGAAUGGUUGGAAAUCAUUCGUAGAGUGCAAAGGCAUAAGGGAGCUUGACUGCGAGACCUACAAGUCGAGCAGGGACGAAAGUCGGGCUUAGUGAUCCGGUGGUUCCGCAUGGAAGGGCCAUCGCUCAACGGAUAAAAGCUACCCCGGGGAUAACAGGCUUAUCUCCCCCAAGAGUCCACAUCGACGGGGAGGUUUGGCACCUCGAUGUCGGCUCAUCGCAUCCUGGGGCUGUAGUCGGUCCCAAGGGUUGGGCUGUUCGCCCAUUAAAGCGGUACGCGAGCUGGGUUCAGAACGUCGUGAGACAGUUCGGUCCCUAUCCGUCGUGGGCGUAGGAAAUUUGAGAGGAGCUGUCCUUAGUACGAGAGGACCGGGAUGGACGCACCGCUGGUGUACCAGUUGUUCUGCCAAGGGCAUAGCUGGGUAGCUAUGUGCGGAAGGGAUAAGUGCUGAAAGCAUCUAAGCAUGAAGCCCCCCUCAAGAUGAGAUUUCCCAUAGCGUAAGCUAGUAAGAUCCCUGAAAGAUGAUCAGGUUGAUAGGUUCGAGGUGGAAGCAUGGUGACAUGUGGAGCUGACGAAUACUAAUAGAUCGAGGACUUAACCAU
Molecule: ribosomal RNA, 2919 nt
Filed under: Bacillus thuringiensis
Lineage: Bacteria; Bacillati; Bacillota; Bacilli; Caryophanales; Bacillaceae
Description: bacterial LSU rRNA
Rfam family: Bacterial large subunit ribosomal RNA
Source: RNAcentral